UCGGGAAUAUUGGACAAUGGGCGCAAGCCUGAUCCAGCCAUGCCGCGUGAGUGAUGAAGGCCUUCGGGUCGUAAAACUCUUUUCUGAGGGAAGAAUGAUCAGGGCAGGAAAUGGCCUUGGUGUGACGGUACCUCAGGAAUAAGCAACGGCUAACUCCGUGCCAGCAGCCGCGGUAAUACGGAGGUUGCAAGCGUUGUUCGGAAUAACUGGGCGUAAAGGGAGCGCAGGCGGCUCUAUAAGUCUGGAGUGAAAUCCCGGGGCUUAACCUCGGAAGUGCUUUGGAUACUGUAGGGCUUGAGUGUGCGAGAGGAAAGCGGAAUUCCAGGUGUAGCGGUGAAAUGCGUAGAUAUCUGGAGGAACACCGGUGGCGAAAGCGGCUUUCUGGCGCAUAACUGACGCUAAGGCUCGAAAGCGUGGGGAGCAAACA
This 427-nucleotide ribosomal RNA is filed under the name uncultured prokaryote. Its description in RNAcentral is "bacterial SSU rRNA". It matches the Rfam family "Bacterial small subunit ribosomal RNA", at positions 355 to 774 of the family's 1533-position model. The record is from RNAcentral.